This 794-nucleotide ribosomal RNA is filed under the name Protogyrodactylus hainanensis. Its description in RNAcentral is "eukaryotic LSU rRNA". It matches the Rfam family "Eukaryotic large subunit ribosomal RNA", at positions 71 to 637 of the family's 3401-position model. The record is from RNAcentral. Lineage: Eukaryota; Metazoa; Platyhelminthes; Monogenea; Dactylogyridea; Dactylogyridae.
AGGAUUCUCCUAGUAACGGCGAGUGAACGGAGAUUAGCCCGUCACCGAAGUCCGGUGCUAUUGCAUGCAGGACAAUGUGGUGUUUAGGCGUGUGCCUGGGAUUGUGUACCUACUCGAAGUCCAACUCCGAUUGUGGCUUGGAUGUGUCCCAGAGAGGGUGAAAGGCCCUUACGGGUAGGAUGUGGCAUAUAUACACAGUCCUCAGAUGCAUAUGCUUUCGAGUCGGAUUGCUUGAGAAUGCAGUCCAAAGUGGGUGGUAAACUCCAUCCAAGGCUAAAUACUGGCGCGAGUCCGAUAGUAGACAAGUACCGUGAGGGAAAGUUGAAAAGUACUCUGAAGAGAGAGUAAAUAGUACGUGAAGCCGUUUGCAGGGAAGCUGGUGGAGUCAAGCUUCGUGCUGGAGAAAUUGUAGUCAGCGUUGUUGUGUGUGUUACGUGGAUGCGAUAGCAUGUCGAUAUGGAAAGUAUCGGGCGUAUUCGUGCGUCCCGAGACAUUCUGGGUAGUGUGUUCUGGGCGUGCUAACGUAUUCUCACGUUGACUAUCUAUUUUUCCAUUUAGCACAAAUCACAGUCGACAACGUACGCGCUACGUGAUUGUUUAACAGUGUUUCGGUGAGCUUUCAGUUUGCUGUGCAUUGAAUGGCAGGUCUCGGUCUUUGUGUCUCGUUUCACAUUGUAACCGAGUAUAGUGGUUUUGACCAGCCAAUUCUCAUAUAGUGUCGUUGUUGUCGUUCAUGAUAUAGGGAUGUAAUUGUUCAAAUUGCAUUCUAGUAAUAACUGUGAUUCUGAGGUAGA